GUGCCAGCAGCCGCGGUAAUACGUAGGUGGCAAGCGUUGUCCGGAUUUAUUGGGCGUAAAGGGAGCGCAGGCGGUGACUUAAGUCUGAUGUGAAAGCCCACGGCUCAACCGUGGAAGGUCAUUGGAAACUGGGUCACUUGAGUGCAGAAGAGGAAAGUGGAAUUCCAUGUGUAGCGGUGAAAUGCGUAGAUAUAUGGAGGAACACCAGUGGCGAAGGCGACUUUCUGGUCCUGUAACUGACGCUGAGGCUCGAAAGCGUGGGGAGCAAACAGGA
RNAcentral lists this ribosomal RNA (274 nucleotides) under uncultured Facklamia sp. RNAcentral's name for it is "partial 16S ribosomal RNA". It matches the Rfam family "Bacterial small subunit ribosomal RNA", at positions 505 to 777 of the family's 1533-position model. Lineage: Bacteria; Bacillati; Bacillota; Bacilli; Lactobacillales; Aerococcaceae. The record is from RNAcentral.